CAGCAGCCACGGGAAUACGAAAGGUCCGGGCGUUAUCCGGAUUUAUUGGGUUUAAAGGGAGCGUAGGCCGCCCCUUAAGCGUGUUGUGAAAUGCGGGUGCUCAACAUCCGACUUGCAGCGCGAACUGGGGGGCUUGAGUGCGCCGAAAGUAGGCGGAAUUCGUGGUGUAGCGGUGAAAUGCUUAGAUAUCACGAAGAACUCCGAUUGCGAAGGCAGCUUACUGUAGCGCAACUGACGCUGAUGCUCGAAAGCGUGGGUAUCGAACAGGAUUAGAUACCCGAGUAGUCCCUGUCCUUAUACA
RNAcentral lists this ribosomal RNA (301 nucleotides) under uncultured bacterium. RNAcentral's name for it is "partial 16S ribosomal RNA". It matches the Rfam family "Bacterial small subunit ribosomal RNA", at positions 509 to 809 of the family's 1533-position model. The record is from RNAcentral.